UUGGAUCCUAAAAAGUAAUUCCCAGGAAGGUAUCAUACGUAUUGUACUUGAUAUUGGGUUUCGUACUAUAAUGCUUCUUUACCAUAUUGAUUAUUUUACAAAAAUGGUCUGAGAUAUGGAAUCAUGCCUACCUUCGAUUGUUCGUUUGGAACAUCAGAUUUGUCGAUCAUGGCAUCUACGUGGCAGGCCCUUAGAUAUUUUGCAAAUUCGGUCAUAACACGAACGUGAGCAUCACAGACAGGGUCAUACAUCAGCAGAAUACUUGGCCCUCUUUUUGCAUACCUUUGCGCUUCCACCAUUUAAAUCCCAGCGUGGAAGCGAGGAUAAACACACCCACUGCCACUACUGGACUGACUAUCAUUAUAAUCACCCGUCCACUGCUCUGUUCUGCAAGAUCAAAGAUAAUUACUUAGAUCCUGAGAAUAGUUGAAAUAAAUCUCUGUACACAUCAA
Molecule: long non-coding RNA, 452 nt
Organism: Athalia rosae (coleseed sawfly)
Lineage: Eukaryota; Metazoa; Arthropoda; Insecta; Hymenoptera; Athaliidae
Exons: 2
Source: RefSeq, a predicted model, not a curated record